UCCUAACUAUGGGCUCCAGGCACCAAGGC
RNAcentral lists this non-coding RNA (29 nucleotides) under Mus musculus (house mouse). Lineage: Eukaryota; Metazoa; Chordata; Mammalia; Rodentia; Muridae. The record is from RNAcentral.